Molecule: transfer RNA, 51 nt
Filed under: Antitrichia californica
Lineage: Eukaryota; Viridiplantae; Streptophyta; Bryopsida; Hypnales; Leucodontaceae
Description: partial tRNA-Leu
Source: RNAcentral
GAAAAUCCGUUGGCUUUAUUAGCCGUGAGGGUUCAAGUCCCUCUACCCCCA